Long non-coding RNA from Manihot esculenta (cassava), 913 nucleotides. RefSeq lists it as uncharacterized. The record is from RefSeq and is a predicted model, not a curated record. The transcript is spliced from 2 exons. NCBI's taxonomy places the organism in Eukaryota, Viridiplantae, Streptophyta, Magnoliopsida, Malpighiales, Euphorbiaceae.
UGCCAUGACUUUGUUCACGCACUAAGUUUAGCAGAUAACUAAAACUUCCAAUACUUUAUAUGUAUGGAACAGUUAUGGCUGCUGGGUCAUUACCAAAACUAGGGUUUCUUUUUUUUUGUUAUAUAUGGCUGAUGCUCUGCGAGAUGCUACAUGGGUAGUGCUUCUACUGCGUAAAUAUUAAGAGGGUUUGAAGGUUGACUGUUUUGCAGAUUCAUGCUCUACAAAAACCAGAAAUCCUCUACUCCUAUCCUCUCUCUCCCUCUUUAAUUUUAUUUCACUUGGUGUUAGUGGUUUGCUCUUGGGCUUGUGCUCUUGUUUCUUUGAUUGGUACAUGUUAUAAUAAGCUGAACAUGCAGCAAUUUGGAAAUGUACUGCCGUCAGCACUCCAUUGAUAGCUACUGUCAAGGAAACUUUUUCUCGAUCACCUGGUUUAUUGAUUCCAAAAGGAAAUUAACACUGCUUGAUUCUGUUUAGGUUCAUCCCAAAAGCUCAUGCACUGAUUUUUGUUGAUGAUAUCUUACAAACGUUAUGCAUACGUGAUGUGAUCAUAGGCAUAGAUCUGAUGUUCUAGAGUUGGUCAUCAAAAGACUACUUGGGUUUUAUAUUAUAAGAUCAAUAAUUUAAAAAUCCUCUCUCUGUCUCUCUCUCUCUCUCUCUCUCUCUCUCCAUGUAUAGUAUAGAUGAAGAGAGUCUCAUGGGAUUUAAUAAAAUGAGAAUUACUGCGUUUGUUUUGUUUAUUAUUAUUUAAUUAAAUACAUGGCAUAAAAGAUAAAUAGCUUCUGGUCUUGCAGGAAGGAGACAAGAUUUUUUGUGAAAACAUAAGCUCAAAAUGUGUUCACAGUACAUGAGGCAGCAUAGAUUUGUAUUGAGAUAAAGCAAUUGACUUAAUUAUAAAAUUCAAUUUCUUAUUACA